GUUUCAUGUCAGUUGUCACAUUUAUCUAAAUACAACCUAUGAUGUACGGAUACCAAUUAUUUCUUUAAUUAAUUUUUUGUGUAAUAUAGGUACUGUCAAGAAAUAAAUACUUACCAAUAUAGAGUGUAGACCGAGAAAUACACGUAUGAAUUCUCGAUACUAUUAUUUAGAAUUGGACGUGGAUAAAUUAGGGAACGCUGAGCAACCAGCACUAGCAGCACAGAGCUUGCUGCAACACGUGGGACGAGAGCUGUUCGGGGAAGUGGGCGUCCCCCACGCAGACAUACUGCGAGCAGACGGCUCCCGGGUGCUUGUGCGAGUGCAGUCCCAGUCGCUGAGGAAGUUCCGAGCGGCCAUAGCUCUGUCACCUCAGAGAAUACACGUCUGCAACCAAGCACCUUCUCUGCAGGCAUUAAUUUGAUUCCAUGUCGGGGACGCAGGUGGAGAGCGCGGGCGGGGCGGGCGGG
This is a long non-coding RNA of Colias croceus (clouded yellow), 467 nucleotides long. RefSeq lists it as uncharacterized. The transcript has 3 exons. Lineage: Eukaryota; Metazoa; Arthropoda; Insecta; Lepidoptera; Pieridae. The record is from RefSeq and is a predicted model, not a curated record.